RNAcentral lists this ribosomal RNA (221 nucleotides) under uncultured fungus. Its description in RNAcentral is "partial small subunit ribosomal RNA". The record is from RNAcentral. Lineage: Eukaryota; Fungi.
GGUCGUGGGCCUCGGUCCGCCCUUCACGGGGUGUUGUACCUGGGGUCUGCAGCCAUCCUCAGAGAGAAAGUGUCUGACAUUAAGUUGCCGGAUACAUCUUCGCUCUGUCAUUUACUGUGAGCAAAAUAGAGUGUUCAAAGCAGGCUUAGGCCGUUGAAUACAUUAGCAUGGAAUAAUAAGAUAGGACCUUGGUCUAUUUUGUUGGUUUGCACUCCAAGGUA